This 664-nucleotide long non-coding RNA is filed under the name Heterocephalus glaber (naked mole-rat). RNAcentral describes it as "lncRNA (ENSHGLG00000046461.1)". The record is from RNAcentral. Lineage: Eukaryota; Metazoa; Chordata; Mammalia; Rodentia; Bathyergidae.
AAAAAGGAGAACAGGAGGGAAGGGUUUCAGCUGCUCUACCUUGGAGGAGGCUUGCCUGAGCCCUGCAAGCUCUUGUAAGCACUGACUAAUACAAAAUUGGUACUGAGAGUGAGGUCAUUGCUGUGACAUUGCCUCACCAUGUGGCUCAAAGGACUUUGGAAUAGGUUCAAGGCAGGAGUUUGGAAAGGUUUUGAGAAGCCAGUUGAAGAGGCAGCCCUAGAAUGCUUUAAACUGUAUUAUAUGAGGGCCUGGUGAGAGCUUGGAAAACCAGAGUACUGAUGGAAAUGCUGCCAGUAAUGGCUUAUCAACGGAGCAGUUCACAACAUGAUAUUUGCCUUCUAUCAGAAGCACAUGGGAAUGCAAAAGAGAAUAACACAAGGUGGCCAUAGCACUGAUACUUCGAAGUUGUCAAAGAUUUUUUCUUUUCCAUUUUUUCCUUUCAUCUACCCCUCCCACUUCCCCUGCACCUUAAGAGAGACUUCUGGAUCACCUACAGCAACCCCAAAGGGAAACAAGAUGGAACAAUCUGAUACUCAACCACCUGGACUCUGAACUGGCAACAAAAGAGGAUCUGGGAAAAAUGAAAUCAGAAAUAAUUACUCAGAUAACAGCAAAGAUUUUUCUCAUGGUGCAAGACAUGAUUAAUAAAUCUAGAGAGGACACA